Pan troglodytes (chimpanzee) is the source of this 271-nucleotide long non-coding RNA. RefSeq lists it as uncharacterized. Lineage: Eukaryota; Metazoa; Chordata; Mammalia; Primates; Hominidae. The record is from RefSeq and is a predicted model, not a curated record. The transcript is spliced from 2 exons.
AGGGACAUCCAAUUGUCCAACCACCUUUACUGAAAAGUCUAUCUUCAUACUAUUGAUGUGCAGUGCCUCUUCUGUGAGUCAUCAUAGCUGGCCGUGCAUGGUGGUGGGCGCCUGUAAUCCCAGCUACUCAGAGGGUGAGAGAGGAAAAUCAUUUGAGCCUGGGAGGCAGACGUUGCAGUGAGCUGAGAUCACGCCACUGCACUCCAGCCUGAGCAACAGAGCAAGACCCCAUCUCCAAAACUAAUAAUAAAUAAAUAAAGUCCUAAGUCCA